This 775-nucleotide ribosomal RNA is filed under the name uncultured bacterium. Its description in RNAcentral is "bacterial SSU rRNA". It matches the Rfam family "Bacterial small subunit ribosomal RNA", at positions 8 to 770 of the family's 1533-position model. The record is from RNAcentral.
AGAGUUUGAUCAUGGCUCAGAGUGAACGCUGGCGGUAGGCCUAACACAUGCAAGUCGAACGGCAGCACAGUAAGAGCUUGCUCUUAUGGGUGGCGAGUGGCGGACGGGUGAGGAAUACAUCGGAAUCUACUCUGUCGUGGGGGAUAGCGUAGGGAAACUUACGCUAAUACCGCAUACGACCUACGGGUGAAAGCAGGGGAUCUUCGGACCUUGCGCGAUUGAAUGAGCCGAUGUCGGAUUAGCUAGUUGGCGGGGUAAAGGCCCACCAAGGCGACGAUCCGUAGCUGGUCUGAGAGGAUGAUCAGCCACACUGGAACUGAGACACGGUCCAGACUCCUACGGGAGGCAGCAGUGGGGAAUAUUGGACAAUGGGCGCAAGCCUGAUCCAGCCAUACCGCGUGGGUGAAGAAGGCCUUCGGGUUGUAAAGCCCUUUUGUUGGGAAAGAAAUCCAGCUGGCUAAUACCCGGUUGGGAUGACGGUACCCAAAGAAUAAGCACCGGCAAACUUCGUGCCAGCAGCCGCGGUAAUACGAAGGGUGCAAGCGUUACUCGGAAUUACUGGGCGUAAAGCGUGCGUAGGUGGUCGUUUAAGUCCGUUGUGAAAGCCCUGGGCUCAACCUGGGAACUGCAGUGGAUACUGGGCGACUAGAGUGAGGUAGAGGGUAGCGGAAUUCCUGGUGUAGCAGUGAAAUGCGUAGAGAUCAGGAGGAACAUCCAUGGCGAANGCAGCUACCUGGACCAACACUGACACUGAGGCACGAAAGCGUGGGGAGCA